This 430-nucleotide unclassified non-coding RNA is filed under the name soil metagenome. RNAcentral's name for it is "partial contains 5.8S ribosomal RNA, internal transcribed spacer 2, and large subunit ribosomal RNA". The stretch from base 1 to 120 matches the Rfam family "5.8S ribosomal RNA", at positions 35 to 154 of the family's 154-position model. The record is from RNAcentral.
GAUGAAGAACGCAGUGAAAUGCGAUACGUAAUGUGAAUUGCAGAAUUCAGUGAAUCAUCGAAUCUUUGAACGCAUAUUGCGCUCUCUGGUAUUCCGGAGAGCAUGCUUGUUUGAGUAUCAGUAAACACCUCAACUCCCUUUUCUUUUUUGAAAUUGGAGCUGGACUUGAGUGAUCCCAACGCUUUCUUCCAAGAAAGUGGCGGGUUGCUUGAAAUGCAGGUGCAGCUGAACUUUUCUCUGAGCUAUAAGCAUAUCUAUUUAGUCUGCCUAAAAAACAGAUUAUUACCUUUGCUGCAGCUGACAUAAAGGAGACUAGUUCUUGUGCUGACUGAUGCAGGAUUCACAGAGACAGCUUCGGCUGACUUUGUAAACUCGAUCUCAAAUCAAGUAAGACUACCCGCUGAACUUAAGCAUAUCAAUAAGCGGAGGA